RNAcentral lists this transfer RNA (65 nucleotides) under Perumytilus purpuratus. RNAcentral describes it as "tRNA-Leu". Lineage: Eukaryota; Metazoa; Mollusca; Bivalvia; Mytilida; Mytilidae. The record is from RNAcentral.
UGUAAUCUGGCAGAUUGAAUGCGGCAGAGUUAGGGUCUGUUUAUGAGUUGUGAGUUCGGUUAUAU